Molecule: long non-coding RNA, 1001 nt
Organism: Lutzomyia longipalpis
Lineage: Eukaryota; Metazoa; Arthropoda; Insecta; Diptera; Psychodidae
Exons: 4
Source: RefSeq, a predicted model, not a curated record
UCUUGAGAUCGUUGGAGUGGUAAGAAUGAGAGGAAGACCAUAGUUUUAUAAAUUAUGUGAUCUAAAAUUAAUUACAAAAAAUUAAGUAAUACUAUGCAUCUGUAAACAAAUAGAAGCGCCCCAUUUUUUAAAACUUCAUCGAAUAAUACCUUGCAUCUCUUUUGAAGACGACCUCUCACUCUCGCCCUUUCCGAUUCAAAAAUUAGCAGUUUCUUGGGCAUUUAGUCGGCAUCCAAAUGGACGUGACCAAGCCAGCGAAGUCUCAUCGAUGCCGAGAUAUCCGGUUCUCCGUAAAGGCACUUCAACUCCUAGAUUCGUCCUCAAACGGAACUCAUCAGUUAGUGCAUCAUUCACGGAGCCGUAAUGCCAAAAAACGAGGGAAAUCAUCUAAAUGGAUGGAAUCUUUAUCAAUAAAAAAACGAGGAAAAAAUUAAAUUCUAUUGAAAUCAAAUGACCAGCACGCCAAAAGUCAAGCGAGUUCAAGAAACGUAAAGUUUAUUAGCUGUGAUUGUUUAUGCUGGAUGUAUUUAAGGAGGAGGUGACAUAGUUCGAGUUAUCCCAGAAGACAGAAGUCUCCACAGUAACAGUCUUAAGCAAGGAGAAGAUCUUUUGUGAGUAUUGUAUGUAUUUUAGUGGCAUUUUUUUUGUAAAUUAACUUAAGAAACGAGAAAUAUAUUGGUGGUAUUUUCAGAUAAAAAUUAAAAUCAAAAUAAAGAAUACCCAAGAUUACGUACUUAUAAUGUUUCAAGAAAAUUUCCUAAAUUUAAGGCCCAUUUUUCUGAUUUUAGGAGUUGAAUAUAUUCCAAGAUUAUCUAUUCUGAGGUAGAGCCAUAAUUAAAUUACAAUCUGAAAUGUAUUGAUUUCACGUAAAAUAACGUAAGUUUUUGAUUUCUAUCUUAAUUUUGAAACGUUCUGUAUCGCAGAAUACCACCAACUAUCACGAUAAUCUAUUGUGAUUAACAUAAUAUUUAUUAGCAUUUGCGUCUGUUGUAAUAUCAUAG